Molecule: unclassified non-coding RNA, 379 nt
Filed under: soil metagenome
Description: partial contains 5.8S ribosomal RNA, internal transcribed spacer 2, and large subunit ribosomal RNA
Rfam family: 5.8S ribosomal RNA (bases 1-120)
Source: RNAcentral
GAUGAAGAACGUAGUGAAAUGCGAUAAGUAGUGUGAAUUGCAGAAUUCAGUGAAUCAUCGAAUCUUUGAACGCACAUUGCACUCCUUGGUAUUCCGAGGAGUAUGCCUGUUUCAGUAUCAUGAGCACUCUCACAUCUAACCUUUGGGUUAAAAUGUGGAAUUGGGAUGCGCCGGUUAUUAUAACGGCCCUCCUAAAAUUCAGUUCUUGGCUGCUUCCUACUACAGCAGUUUGGCCUAAUAGUUUUGAGUCUUCGAUUCAAAUCUUUGGCUAACAUUUGCUUCAGGCUGUCAGUCUUGAUAUACAGAAAUCUCAUUCAAACUUUGAUCUGAAAUCAGGUAGGGCUACCCGCUGAACUUAAGCAUAUCAAUAAGCGGAGGA